Molecule: ribosomal RNA, 253 nt
Filed under: uncultured bacterium
Lineage: Bacteria
Description: partial 16S ribosomal RNA
Rfam family: Bacterial small subunit ribosomal RNA
Source: RNAcentral
UACGGAGGAUGCAAGCGUUAUCCGGAAUGAUUGGGCGUAAAGCGUCCGCAGGUGGCUGUGUAAGUCUGCUGUUAAAGAGUCUAGCUCAACUAGAUACAAGCAGUGGAAACUACACGGCUAGAGUACGUUCGGGGCAGAGGGAAUUCCUGGUGUAGCGGUGAAAUGCGUAGAUAUCAGGAGGAACACCGGUGGCGAAGGCGUCCCUCUGGCCGGAUACUGACGCUGAGACGCGAAAGCGUGGGGAGCGAACAGG